Molecule: long non-coding RNA, 1493 nt
Organism: Acinonyx jubatus (cheetah)
Lineage: Eukaryota; Metazoa; Chordata; Mammalia; Carnivora; Felidae
Exons: 3
Source: RefSeq, a predicted model, not a curated record
AGUUAUGUCUUUAAUCAAUCAAAAUUGUUCGCCGUGAAACUAACUCUCGCCAAUCCGCACCUGCUCGCUUCAGCUUGAGGCAAUCUGCUGUAGACUUCCAUCAUGUUGACGGCUGAUGCUGUUUCCCACCCAUUCGACAGGAGCCGUUCUUUCUAGAAUGUACAGUGGAGAGAAAAGGGAAGGCACAAGGCACUGUUGUACAAAUCCAAGGCACUCUUGGAGCACAUGAGAAUUUCUCUUAGAUGACUCCUUUUUCAAAAGCCCAUCCCGGCCCCCCUCUUUCUUCUUUUUCUUUCCCAAUUUUCUACACCGAACAUGCAUUGUUGUCAUGGGAGAGAAGUCACUAAUGUAUAUUUAAAGAGAAAUAAAGGAAGGAACUUCUCCGUGAGCAAGAGUGUUUGAAUGCGUUCGAGGGUGGGUGCUAUGGAGGAGUUUCGGCUGAUGUGUGAGAUGGCGGCCCAGGUCUUGGACCUCUUUAGCGUGACGAACCAGUGGCCCACGUGGAACCCCAGCUGCCUGUUCAGGUGGGCACUCGACAGGGCUUCUCACAUUCUCUGAUCUGAGAAGGGAGUGUGCGUUUCCCUGGGGGGUUAAGGGUGCCAAAGGAUGUCCCCGCCCUGCUCUCCAACCUGUGACUCUAACGACUUGCAGGUCUCCACUCCCGCCAGGUCACACUGUCGCCUCCGCAGGUUUUCGAUCAUGAUCUGUCCGAACCGGUCGUCCAUGUUCACCUGGGAAGGGAAAGAGGAGGCUGGGCAAUGCCAGAAGGGCUUCUCGAAUACGCAAAAUCAGACAACAGUAUUCUGUUUCUGAGCCGUCAAGGCUGAUGUUUGCUAAUACCCAGUGCAGUCAACGGAGUCGGGUGCAGGCACGGCACGCAGGGCCGACGACAGCGUCGUCUGCUGCCGCCCCCUGCGGGGCAACCGGGCGGUGUGCGCUCGGCCUGGGAGCCGGUCAGACCACUGAGCGGCUGCUCCACAGGUAGACUCCCACGUGCACGCCAGGUGCAAGAGGGUUUACUCCGCAGCAUGAUGUGUAACGGGCCCUAUGACAGAAAGGACUCACAUGCCCAUCCGCUGGGGUUAAAGCAGCUGUGGCAUGGUCGUUUAGUGAAAUAUUGCAUCGCCAUGAAAACAGCAAGAGGACAUCCGAGUAGAUGUAGGUACAGAUGGAAACACACAUACAGACACAGAUACAGAUGUGGAAUGAUUGUCAGAUAACAGACUCUCGAAAAGUACAGUACAGAGGGAUGUGCAUAACAUGCUCCUGUCUGCCCUUAAGAAAAAAAAUCUCUAGCUACGUUUACAUAUGCACAGAAUAAUUCUGGAAUCUGGCAGUGUUGCUUCCCAGGUUGGAGGACUCACUAAGGUCUGGGGUAGAAGAGACACUUACCUUUCCCUGCAUACCCUUUUGUACUAUUUGAUUGUUUUUUGAAGUUUUGCAUGUGGUGUUACUUAUCUAAUGAGAAACCACUUAAAACCCCCUUCUUACAA